This 468-nucleotide ribosomal RNA is filed under the name uncultured bacterium. Its description in RNAcentral is "partial 16S ribosomal RNA". It matches the Rfam family "Bacterial small subunit ribosomal RNA", at positions 28 to 507 of the family's 1533-position model. The record is from RNAcentral.
GACGAACGCUGGCGGCGUGCUUAACACAUGCAAGUCGAACGGAAAGGCCCUGCUUUUGUGGGGUGCUCGAGUGGCGAACGGAUGAGUAACACGUGAGUAACCUGCCCUUGACUUUGGGAUAACUUCAGGAAACUGGGGCUAAUACCGGAUAGGAGCUCCUGCGGCAGGGUGGGGGUUGGAAAGUUUCGGCGGUUGGGGAUGGACUCGCGGCUUAUCAGCUUGUUGGUGGGGUAGUGGCUUACCAAGGCUUUGACGGGUAGCCGGCCUGAGAGGGUGACCGGCCACAAUGGGACUGAGAUACGGCCCAGACUCCUACGGGAGGCAGCAGUGGGGAAUAUUGCACAAUGGGCGGAAGCCUGAUGCAGCAACGCCGCGUGCGGGAUGACGGCCUUCGGGUUGUGAACCGCUUUCGCCUGUGACGAAGCGUGAGUGACGGUAAUGGGUAAAGAAGCACCGGCUAACUACGUG